CCCCUAGAUGUUCUGGGCCGCACGCGCGCUACACUGACUGGUGCAACAAGUGUCUGACCUUGGCUCGAGAGGCCUGGGCAACCUUUGAACGCCAGUCGUGCUGGGGAUAGAUUCUUGCAAUUAUUAAUCUUCAACGAGGAAUUCCUAGUAAACGCAAGUCAUCAGCUUGCAUUGAUUACGUCCCUGCCCUUUGUACACACCGCCCGUCGCACCUACCGAUUGAAUGGUCCGGUGAAAUCUCGGGACGGCGGCUUGGUCGCUUGCGUCCGACUGCUGAAACUUGAUUAAACCAUAUCAUUUAGAGGAAGGUGAAGUCGUAACA
This 322-nucleotide ribosomal RNA is filed under the name uncultured eukaryote. RNAcentral's name for it is "partial 18S ribosomal RNA". It matches the Rfam family "Eukaryotic small subunit ribosomal RNA", at positions 1470 to 1796 of the family's 1831-position model. The record is from RNAcentral.